Long non-coding RNA from Hippocampus comes (tiger tail seahorse), 92 nucleotides. RefSeq lists it as uncharacterized. The record is from RefSeq and is a predicted model, not a curated record. NCBI's taxonomy places the organism in Eukaryota, Metazoa, Chordata, Actinopteri, Syngnathiformes, Syngnathidae. The transcript has 2 exons.
GAUGUCUCAGCAUCUGGAAACCUUGACAAGGAUAAGAGACUGUUUGUUGAUUGUCAAGAAGUUGCAGUCGUGUACUUCAGGAAUGGGUAUAU